RNAcentral lists this ribosomal RNA (496 nucleotides) under uncultured bacterium. RNAcentral's name for it is "partial 16S ribosomal RNA". It matches the Rfam family "Bacterial small subunit ribosomal RNA", at positions 29 to 507 of the family's 1533-position model. The record is from RNAcentral.
AUGAACGCUGGCGGCGUGCCUAAUACAUGCAAGUCGAGCGAACAGACGAGGAGCUUACUCCUCUGACGUUAGCGGCGGACGGGUGAGUAACACGUGGAUAACCUACCUAUAAGACUGGGAUAACUUCGGGAAACCGGAGCUAAUACCGGAUAACAUGUUGAACCGCAUGGUUCAACAGUGAAAGACGGUCUUGCUGUCACUUAUAGAUGGAUCCGCGUCGCAUUAGCUAGUUGGUAAGGUAACGGCUUACCAAGGCAACGAUGCGUAGCCGACCUGAGAGGGUGAUCGGCCACACUGGAACUGAGACACGGUCCAGACUCCUACGGGAGGCAGCAGUAGGGAAUCUUCCGCAAAGGGCGAAAGCCUGACGGAGCAACGCCGCGUGAGUGAAGAAGGUCUUCGGAUCGUAAAACUCUGUUAUUAGGGAAGAACAAAUGUGUAAGUAACUAUGCACGUCUUGACGGUACCUAAUCAGAAAGCCACGGCUAACUACGUG